GGGGGGGGGGGCAAGCGUUGUUCGGAAUUACUGGGCGUAAAGGGCGCGCAGGGCGGCCCGGCAAGUCCUACGUGAAAUCCCACAGCUCAACUGUGGAAUUGCGUGGGAUACUGCCCAGGCUUGAGUCCGGGAGAGGAGAGUGGAAUUCCCAGUGUAGCGGUGAAAUGCGUAGAUAUUGGGAGGGACACCGGUGGCGAAGGCGGCUCUCUGGACCGGUACUGACGCUGAGGCGCGAAAGCUAGGGGAGCAAACGGGAUUAGAUACCCCGGUAGUCCUAGCCCUAAACGUUGAGCACUUGGUGUGGCGGGUAUCGACCCCUGCCGUGCCGAAGCUAACGCAUUAAGUGCUCCGCCUGGGGAGUACGGUCGCAAGGCUG
This 376-nucleotide ribosomal RNA is filed under the name uncultured organism. RNAcentral describes it as "partial 16S ribosomal RNA". It matches the Rfam family "Bacterial small subunit ribosomal RNA", at positions 524 to 896 of the family's 1533-position model. The record is from RNAcentral.